GGGGGGGGCAAGCGUUGUUCGGAAUUACUGGGGCGUAAAGCGCGCGCAGGCGGCCCGGCAAGUCCUACGUGAAAUCCCACAGCUCAACUGUGGGAACUGCGUGGGAUACUGCCAGGCUUGAGUCCCGGGAGAGGAGAGUGGAAUUCCCAGUGUAGCGGUGCAAUGCGUAGAUAUUGGGAGGAACACCGGUGGCGAAGGCGGCUCUCUGGACCGGUACUGACGCUGAGGCGCGAAAGCUAGGGGAGCAAACGGGAUUAGAUACCCCGGUAGUCCUAGCUGUAAACUUUGAGCACUUUGUGUGGCGGGUAUCGACCCCUGCCGUGCAGAAGCUAACGCAUUAAGUGCUCCGCCUGGGGAGUACGGUCGCAAAGGCUGA
Molecule: ribosomal RNA, 376 nt
Filed under: uncultured organism
Description: partial 16S ribosomal RNA
Rfam family: Bacterial small subunit ribosomal RNA
Source: RNAcentral